Molecule: non-coding RNA, 83 nt
Organism: Kalmusia sp. IMI 367209
Lineage: Eukaryota; Fungi; Ascomycota; Dothideomycetes; Pleosporales; Didymosphaeriaceae
Source: the annotation of a GenBank genome assembly
GGCCACGUGGCCCAAUGGCAAGGCGCUUGACUACGAUAAGUAGGCACAUCAAGAGAUUGCAGGUUCGAUCCCUGCCGUGGUCA